This is a long non-coding RNA of Orbicella faveolata, 7309 nucleotides long. Lineage: Eukaryota; Metazoa; Cnidaria; Anthozoa; Scleractinia; Merulinidae. The record is from RefSeq and is a predicted model, not a curated record.
CUUUGUGGAUUCCAAUAACCCUUGCAAAGAUCUACUUUUUCCACAUGGUCCUAAUCUGGUGCAAAAAUCUUUGUAUAUAGUAGGGACCGUCCUUAUUAGAAACACGAUUGUUAACCAGUGAGUGUGCGUAGUGUUUGUGGGCUAUUUUUUAACAUGCUUUAUAAAAGGGGUCUUUAGAGUGCUGGCCACUGAGAAGAAAUUUUCGAAUCUGAGAUUUUUGCUCAAUAAUAAAGUUUGAACCUCACCUAAAAACUCUGUCGACUAAAAACUCUGUCAAGACUAAGGGUAAAAUGCAGACUGCAGAAUGCAGAGCGAACCGCAAAAAGGCUAACCGGAACGGUUAUUAAGGCUAACAUGAGUGAUAUUUAAGCUAACCAGAGUGCAGACUUUCACUCCGAUUGCUAAAAUGUGGCAUUAAUAACCCUGUUUUACGAUUAGAACUCAAUAAUGGAAAUAACACGAUAUAUAUUUAAAAAGUAUGCAGUAUGCAGUCUUCAUUUUACCCCCAGUCUGCAUUUUACUCGUGGUCUGCAGUCCACAACUCUUUGGCUACCUCCAACGUCUGUAAUGUGUAUUUUCUGUCAAGGAUGGACAAAACAUUAUCAGGGUGAAAACUAGUAGGUCACGACAAUAUGAAGAACAUACUUGAACAAAUCAGCUGAAAACAAGAAAAAACUACUGCGUUUCCUGCGUGUAUGCGACCAGCCUAGUCAGUAAGGUCCUUUCUAGAGCUCACGUACCGCGAAAAGUCGAUUUCGGCAGCUCAGAACAGCACUCUCCGUUACAUGUAAGUUUUUUUUUUCUUAGAUGUUUUGAAAAUUCACAUCGUUUAGUUUUCGGCUACCGUUAUAAUUUAGCUUUUAACAUUCAAGUUGCGUGUACAGCUUGCGUUGAAUGAAAAAGAAAAUUCUGGCCAGUAAGUUAAAGGAUUCUAACCAAAGCGCUUUUGCUGGUUGGGUACUUGCUCUUAGUAAUUUUUCAGUUGCGAUAUUAUAAUACGCGUUCAAUUAAAGAAAGAUUUUGAUUCGAUAUUCACAAGAAGGGCGCGAAAUAUUAAAAAGUCAGUGCAACAGAAAGUGAAAAGCAGUCCACGACAAGCCAAAUUUUAAUUCGGAAAGUGUUCGUUUUAUUUCCGCUUCCGAACAUAACUCGAAGAGACGAUUUGACGCAGUACGUGUCCACGGCAAAUGAAAUCAAACAUGGCGGCCUGACAGCGGAAACGAGCGGUGGGUCUACGGUGGCCGUUUAUUGUUGGCUCGAGGAAAUUCUGCACAGAGAGGGCCAAUUAGCAAAGCAGAAUCGAUGAAGAUAAAGGGAACAAGAGAUGACUAGAGCUUAUAGCUCGUCGGAGGCAACGCUCCACGGAUGACUUGUUCACAAUGUAUUCAGUUCAAGCCAUUUUUGGUUGAUUAAUGGAUAUGCUGUCAUGGGACGUGACCAAGGUGCAUGGGACCUUUUUUGUCUUACGGUGAAGUUUACAUAACACGUAGUCGAAGGUAAGCUAAAUUUGUUUCUCAUUUUAUUCUCUUUUUUUUUACUCUCAAUACUGCACAACCGCAAUAUUAUAAAACACGUAAUGUUUCAGCCAGGCUGGUACGGUUUAUACAUGCUCUGCAAAUUAUCGCACACACAUGCUAACUUAACUUACUUUGUUAAUCUAAAUUAGCGACCGCAUAUGGGAUUGGAAUUUACUUUGCUUAUACUAGGUUGUACUAGUAAACAACUAAGAUAUUACCAAAGAAGCAAUGACAGCAAAUACAGACCAGUAAAAAUAAGGAUCAAGUGCUCUUAGCUUUCCGUUACUUUGGUUGUCGCGCAAAGUAACGGAACGCUUUGAUACUAGCUACAAAGAAUUGAAAAGGAGACUAAAAUGCCCUAGAAUGACUUUUUGAUGAGAAUGCCAGUACCUUACAAUUCAAGGAAUGUUUGGAAAUUUGCCAGAAUGUGGCAUUUUUGCCUUGCUGUCUUUUCUGACACUCAUUUUUCACGGUGGCAAGUGACUAUGAUUAUCAGUUGAGUUAGGCGUGAUGGAGCUUUGGUGAAAAAAAAUGCUGUAGCUAUGGGCAACUUACCUCGUUUCCAAUGGUAACAAAUAUAUUGCCUCCUGCAAUUUCGGGUGCUUUGCUGCCAAUGACAUCAAAGGCCGACAAGUUACCAGUGGAAAUGCAGCCUGUUGCCCGUGACAACAACACAAGUUGAACGUUAAAACCUGGUCACCAAACUUUCGUCGCAUCUUACAAUUACUGAUUGUGGCAAGUUGUCUUUGGUGUUAGCCUCCUGAUUCUGCAUGAACAAUAUUGAGCUGUAGCUCCUGCAUGACUGAAAGUUUGUUACCCAAGCCAAUCAGGCAAAGCAUGAAAAACACUCAGAUGUGACAUCAGCUUUCUUAUUAUGUCAUGUCACUAAGUAACCACUCACAACAGUUCCAAGCAUUUCCCAGCCCUUUUUUAGGUAUCAAAACUUCCACUCUCUUUCAAUCAAUGCCAUAUAAUUUUCAUGUAAUGAAAUCAGUGGUCAAUGCAAAGGGUUAAUUAGAUUAUCAUAGCAUUAGCAAAACACCCUUAAUUUUGCAUUUAAACCAGUUUGGCGACACUCCCCCCCCCCAUUUUUUUUUUCGCUAAAAUACUAUUUUUUAAGAGAGAUCACAUCUGCUUUAAUUUUCUGAACAUUUUAAGAUGGUUCUUGAAUGAUCUUGGCUGAUUACAACUCUAUCAUAAAAAAUGGGGUUACAAACCUCGUUUUUUAAUUAAAAACACUCUAAGGUAAAAUUAAGGAUAUUUUUGAACACGUCAUACAGUUGCCUUGGUAACUUGAAAUGGCAAGGAAUUGAUCAUAACUCGUCACCAAUGUUUGGUUCUUUGUUUAAUGCCAUUGUUGUAGCAUUAACUGAGAAAGUACCGCAGCACUGACUCAUCAAAAUCAUCAAAAAAGAAGCGCUAAAAAUGCUUGAAACUUCUAUGAGCCACCUGAACUAAGUCUCCUUUGCAGACGUUAUUUGGGUCUGAAACACUAAAGACCUAAAAGAAACACUGCAGGAGGCCUGUAAUGAUCCUACGAAGAUCUGAUAAUAUGUAACAGUAUAUCAAUACUAUGUAUGCUGUUUUAGGAGUCAAAUCUUAUGAUUAUAAAUUGCUUCAAGCCAUUCCAAACUCACCUUAAUAUAUCACUCAGGUUAUUUGAAAUAAGCUUUUCAAGACUUUCAGAAGUUAUGUUAUCGCGGCUUAACAUGUUAAGUUGCAAUAGCGGUAUUUUUAAUACGAGAUCGAUGACUGCGCCUUCAUUUGUUCUCAUUUGGUACAGAUGGUUGAAACAGAUGUAGUCUGAAAUUGAAAAGAGCACUAGAAUUGACUGAACUAACAUCACAAGCUAAAACAACAUUAAGUAAAACCAUCAACGGGAGCGCGAUGGAAAUCCAUCUGGCAUAGCGUAAUGGAUCAGUCAUCAGUCGCAAAGUUGUCAGAGUGGGGACUGAGGCUGGGGGGUGGAGAUGGAGGAGUGGCGAGGGAGGGACUCGAAACUUUUGUUUAUCUUGUGUGUUGUUUCAGAAAACAGUAGUCAUUGAACAAUAAACAGAGUCCAAGAGGCGUGAAAGAGAACGUGACCGUGUUCAAUUAUAUAACAAAGCGUACAUAACGUGAUCGUGAGAACCAUGACAGUGCAGGAAAACCAGUAAAACCCGAAUGCCAAAGAAGUUGGCGAGUAACCGGCUGCAUUCUCGCAGAAAUUAAAACUUCUCUCACAAUCGGUUUAGGUUACCGAAACGUCUGAUUAAUUUGACUCUUGUAAUAACAUCUCCUGGGGUUUUGCAAUUGUUCAAAUACCUCUUAAGUGGAACGAUGUUUUGCGUGCACUACGACGUUUUCAAGUCUUUUAUCGGACCACCAUUCGCUAACCUCCAGUCACCUCUUAGUGGCCCGGAAGCAACUUAUUGAAAAUGAAUUCUUGUUAAUUAACUAUUUCCGCUGAAGGAAUAAUUGAUCUUCAUUGCCAAGUUCAUCGGCUUGUUGCCAGUAUAUUUACAUGUUUCAUCUCUGUUCAGUACUCGAAUUUGACUUAAGUUUAGAUAAGGAGCUUCCUUUGACAAACACGUACGGCUAGGUAAACGAUGGAUUCCUCUGAGCAAAGAAUUCCAAAGAAGUGGUUUUCGAUGUUCGUUCCUCUCCCGUAAGAUAUGUUACUCUGAAUUCAGUUUGUCUCAGCCCCGACCCAGCAGAUGAUCCUGGUGUGUAGAUGAGUAAGGGCUACCUCUUAGAAUAGGGCCAUGUAGGGGUGGGUGUGGAGUGGCAAGAGGGAGAAGUAAGGGGCUACUUGCAAUGGACUAAUUCGAUCCCAUCCCCCCAUAUAGAGUAACAAUUCUGCUAGUUAGUGUUUGCUAUAAAACGCGGGAUUAACUCUAGUUGCGCCGUUCAUUUGGCCGUGAAUUGAGUUGCCCUAUUCAAUACUGACCGUCUAACGCAAUGUUAGAACAGGUCAUGGGCUCCUGUGAUGGAAGGUUUGGUUGAAUUUCAAGAAAAGUUUCCUACUGUGUAAUAGUUUCCUUAUUUGUUUCGAUAUUGAUGCCAUUAUGUCAUUAUUGGUAUCGCGCGCCUAAAAUUACUUGGUUACUACUGUUUGGUGUAAGGGGUUGAUGAGUGUGGAAACAAAGGUCGUCAAGAAAACUCAACAGUACUGCAAGCAUCUUUAUAUUUUCGUUUGCAAAGAAGCUAUGUUUGCUUGUCUCGUGCCGAUCCUGUGUUCGAAGGCUAAUGAAAACCGUCACGUUUGAACUUCUAGUUCUAAGGUUAGUUCAACAGUCCAAAGUAAAAUUCAGUCCUCGUUGAUUAGCAUUGAAUAGUUUGCCUCGUGCCCGCCUUGUGGGUGAUUGUGAGCCAAAUUCAGCCUCAAGUUUCAAGUUGCAGAGUCCUGUGCGCGUAAAGACCGACUAACUGACUUCUAAUACUUCACUGGGAAAAGCCGGCAAUUCCCAAGUUUCGACAUUGACGCACUGAAUAGAUGUACUGUACACUUUUUUUGGUAGGGUUUUACGAAUCUGGCAAUAGGUCAAGAAAACAUUCCUUAUGGUUAAUUCUUUUUUUUUUUUUGUCUCACUAUAGUCACGAGAGGUCACAUUUGUUUGGAACGCCUGAUCACACCAGAUAUUGCUUUCUAGAAUGUGAUAAAAACCUGCAGUUUAAUUUUAUGUUUGUACAAUUUAACUUGGAACUCUCAUAAUAAGAUAAUAUUAAUUUCUGUUGUUUUCAGAUGGACAAGAAAAAUGUCGUUUUAGGACCAAAAAAGGCCAGCUCUUGAAUUUUCGUACAGGCAACGACAGUUGGUAAAUUUGGCAUAUAAGAUUUCGUAACCACAAAAAUUCCGUUGGGUAAAGAAUUCAACAUCACUGUGUCAGGUUAUACAGAUAUUCCCUAUACCAAGGCUUGAACGAUAUUGGAAAACGGAACCAUGGCAUCCCAAAUCUUAUAUUUUGUUCUUUUUUAUAAUUAUGUCAUUUGUUGUCCAAGUAAAGGGAGCCGAGAAAACAUUGCAUUGACUGUGGUUCUGACUGAAUUAUUGCGUCGGGGGGAAACUCUCUAAAGUGUUUGGUGGAGGUGUGCGGCCCGAACCUUGAAACCUGCACCCUAUUAAUGACCAAACUCUCUGAUUGUCCAUGAGCCAAGAAUCGGUACGCUAUUUCAAUUAGUACACGACUUCAAAAUAUUACCGCAGCUAACCAGAAAUGGCUUCUAUUUCUGUAAACAUUUGAGAGGGGCUAUAAAUAUGCCACUGUUAAUGGGAAAAAAAUAGUUCUUUGUAAACAAGAUAUCCAAUGCCAAACGAGAGUGAAAAGCACACGAUAUUUCAGACUAAAAUGAUCUAUACCCUUUUUUCGGACCAAAAUAUACCAAAAACUAUACUCUUUGGGGCUGUACAUACCUAUAUAACCCAUAUAAGAGAGAAUCCCCGGGACGACGGUCAACCAACAAUUUGAUGUUAAGGAAUGGCAUCAAAUAAAUGAAGAGCGAAUGUGGAGUUCAGAGAGCGCUUCCAUGCAUGGUUAUAUUGAAGUGAAUAUCCCCAAGAUUUCACUGCUAUAUUCUCAACACAAGUAUACUUGACUGUGUAUCGAUGUUGCUAGGAGAACUAAGUUGCUGACCACUUCCGUCAGAAUCAGCCCAGUAACGUUUUGCGUUCAUUCCGUUGGCUACCUGACAGAGAACUUACUGAGUCAUCUUUUGCGUUUAAAUCGAUUUUCAUUUGUUUCCUUGUUAUGGCACUUUCUUCAUUUUUGCUCGGAAAGCUGAUAUCAAUAAUUUUUUAUCCACUUUCAAAACCGGACGGUGUAGGCGUUCUGUAGUUGACGAAUUUCCGUUGUCAGUCAAGGUUAAUAGGUACGGGUUUCCACAGGUCAUGUGCUUUGAAAAUUUGAUUUCCUGGAUUACAAGACCUACAGGCACGAUCCAUGGCAAUUAGAGAUAUUUUGAGAUAAAUAAGAUGCUAAACGCGCUCCGAUUGGUUAAAAGCCAAUUACAGUACCAUCUCUGAGAACUGACAUAUAUUUCAACCGUUCAUUUCAUUCAAAGAAACGAGGAAAAUGUCAGUGCUAGUUUCCAUUGUAGAGUUAUAUAAACACUCGUGAUUUGUUUUGAAGAACUCAGAAAUAUAAGAUAGAUGUAAGAGGUGACCACAGCUUUUGUUCCUCUCGGAAUACUGUCUGUUUAUAUUACCCUGUGAGUAUACCGCAACUCUUAAGACAGAAAAACGUUUAAAAUAUUUCCUCAGACUUGAAAACAACGACGUCUUUAAUUAUAUAAAUCGUCACUAACGGGCGACGAGAAACAUCUACAAACGUCCUGUUCGUUUGAAACCAGGCUGGACACUUUUAAUUCGCGUCACACAUGGUUUUGUCACUCCAUUGCAUUCAAUCCAUCCAGGCGCGUGAUAUCACCAUAAAAAUUUUCAAUAACUGUACGCUACACGUUUAUUCUAGUUCUUGUUGGGAGAAUUUAUAAAUCUGUCAAAGGGACUUAAAAUUAAAGCGCUAAAUUUAACGUUGCAUUAACGAUGUACUCCUCCGGUUAGGAAGUUCCAAACUGAAGUCGAAGAAAAAAAUUAGUGAAAACACGAAAAGAAUAGAAUGUAAACUGCAAAUAAGCGGACUAAGGCUUUUUAAGGUGAUGGAAGCCUGGUUUCCGUCAGAAAUCACGUUCUGGAGAUGAUUGUAGUGAACCUUUAAACUGAUUAUUUCACUUCUUCUCUAAUUGUCUUUCCUGUAUUAGUGCGGGAUAGGAAAUUGAAAUCCGGUUAACCUUGAAACUUACUCUGACAAACGCUA